AGAUUCAGUGCAAGUCUAUGCUGAAGUGGAGAAGCCAGCUGACACCAGAGCUCGUUCGGUUUGUAAGUUUUCUAUUUCUCAUCUGCAGACUUGUCUGUCUUUAUCCAAAAUCCCUCCACUGAAGAGAUUUGGAUCAAAAAGGCCGCUCCUCUGGUGUGCAUGGUUGUGGGUGCUGAUCUGAGCCAGGUCCAAACCUACUGGCAGGUGAGCAAGACGGAGAAAAUUAAAGGAAAUGUGACCAAAAAACUGAAGGAGAAAGGGACCCCAGACACAGUGAUCAGCCAACUCCAGACCAGUGUGGAGGAGUGGUCCAGUGGGGUGGAGUACACGUGCUCUGCCCAACAACCUUCUUCAUCCUCAGCACGGACAAAGAGUACCAAAGUGGAAACAAAAAGACCGAAGGUCAGACUGCUGCCUCCACCACACGAAGGGACCAAGGGUAGGAACAUGGCCACCCUCGAGUGUGUGGUCUCUGGAUUCUACCCGGACCUCAUAAACGUCACCUGGGAGAAAGACGGCUCCCUGAUCUCCUCCAACACCAGUGCUACACCGACUGCUCUGGAGCAGGAGGGCACUUUCAGUGCCAGCCAUUUCCUGACUGUGAGUACAGAGGAGUGGAAGAAAGGCUCAGUCUUCAGCUGUACAGUGUCUCAUCCCCCCUCCAACACCAGUGUCAGCCGGGAGGUGAAAAGCAUUCAAGAAUCCUGCACAGACUUGACAGGAGAGGAGGGGAAGGAAGAACUGGGAGACUUGGAUGGAGAUGACAAUGUGCUGGCAGUUGCUGCCUUUGCCAUUCUGUUCGUUAUCAGUUUCCUCUACAGCACCUUCGUCACCAUUGUCAAGGUAACCAAAUGACCAACAACAGGGAUAUCCCAUGAAGCCCACACUUUCACCUUCCAUUUCUCACCACACUGAGUCGUCUGACUCUGGGAUCCCAACUACAGCACAAUCAACAGACGAUGCAGUCUGGGGCCUUUCACAUCCCCUGGGACUUUGAA
This is a non-coding RNA of Pristis pectinata (smalltooth sawfish), 998 nucleotides long. The record is from the annotation of a RefSeq genome assembly. Lineage: Eukaryota; Metazoa; Chordata; Chondrichthyes; Rhinopristiformes; Pristidae.